AAAUGAGAUUUAACGAAAGUGGCGAACGGGUGAGUAACGCGUGAGCAACCUGCCUUACACAGGGGGAUAGCCAUUGGAAACGGUGAUUAAUACCCCAUAAGACCACAAUACCGCAUGGUAAAAGGGUAAAAGGGAUACCGGUGUAAGAUGGGCUCGCGUCUUAUUAGCUAGUUGGUGGGGUAAAGGCCUACUAAGGCGACGAUCAGUAGCCGGUCUGAGAGGAUGAACGGCCACAUUGGAACUGAGACACGGUCCAAACUCCUACGGGAGGCAGCAGGG
This 279-nucleotide ribosomal RNA is filed under the name uncultured Parvimonas sp. RNAcentral describes it as "partial 16S ribosomal RNA". It matches the Rfam family "Bacterial small subunit ribosomal RNA", at positions 75 to 354 of the family's 1533-position model. The record is from RNAcentral. Lineage: Bacteria; Bacillati; Bacillota; Tissierellia; Tissierellales; Peptoniphilaceae.